UUAGAAACAAGUCUGAAAAUUAUAGGAACCACAAAUUUUAAAAAAAGUGUUAGUUUGAUAUGUCUGAAAUUAAUGCUUUAAUUUAUUCACCACAGAAUGUCUUCACACAUCGCUGUUUUUUGUAAUUUAUACCAUACACUGUCUACUCAAGUUAAUGUGUGAAGCAUGGUUAAAUUAUGCCUAAAAAGGAAUAUGAAAACUCUCUACAAUAUGGUCACGGGAAAAGGGUCUAACAAGGAGUAAUGGGGCAAAAUUUAAAUAAGAGAAAUUGAAAUAGAAGUUUCAGAAAAACUGUCAGGUAUUGAAGAUUCGCCUAACUGGAAUAAGCUCCUCAGAAAAAGACUUAAAAACUUUUAGAGGGCCAGCCUGGUGGCGCAGCAGUUAAGUUCCCAUGUUCCACUUCGGCAACCCUGGGUUUGCUGGUUCGGAUCCCGGGUGCGGACAUGGCACCACGUGGCAAGCCAUGCUGUGGCAGGCGUCCCACAUAUAAAGUGGAGGAAGAUGGGCAUGGAUGUUAGCUCAGGGCCAGUCUUCCUCAGCAAAAAGAGGAGGAUUGGCGGUAGAUGUUAGCUCAGGGCUAAUCUUCCUCAAAAAUAAAUAAAUAAAUAAAAAAUAAAAAUAAAGUGAGGCAUAUUAAAAAUUAAAAAAAAAACUUUUAGAGCAGUCGACUGGAAAUGGAUUAGACAAAGUUCUAGAAAAUAUUUCUAUAGGGAAUGCAUAAUUGUACGUGUGGUCUAACCAGUAGACCACAUAAUCUAAUGAGCUUUUGUGUGUUUUCAAUCUUUUGUUAAUCAUAUCAAAGGAGGUUUGGGAUAAAGAUCAAAUGAACAAUUCCAUAGAAAAGAGACAUAUUUUGUCAAUAUGAUGUCGUUUGUUCUUUUCCCCAUUGUGUAUCACAUGCUGACAGGACUUUCGUUCCUCUUCUUGUGGCUAAUUUAAUGCUGUAAAGGAUGCCAGACUGAUAGCUCGGGAGAUUGCUGUCUGUUCUACACGUUCCUGACCUUGUACUUCAGUCUCAUUCUAAAGGAGUCCGGGCGAGAACUGUAAAGGCAGGAUGGUCACUGUUUUAGGCCGUGUAGGAAAUACAGAUCUCUGAGAGACUGCUCCUGCCUUCAAUGAGUGUACAGUUCGGUGAGCUGCUAAAAUGAGAUUCUCCCAAGAAACAGAACCAAUAAGAGAUGGACAGGUCUAGAUAAAAAGAUGUGUUUGAGGAACUGGCUCACAUGAUUACAGAGACUGAGAAGUCCCACGAUCUGCAUCUAAAAGCCGGAGACCCAGCAAAGCCGAUGUGUAAUUCCUGUCUGAGUCCAAAGGCCUAACAACCAGAGGAGCUGAUGGUGUAAAUCCUCGUCCAAGGGCAGGAGAAGACCGAGGUCCCAGCUCAACCUGGCAGGUAGGAAGCAAAAGGGACGAAUUCCUCCUUCCUCCUUUUUGUUCUAUGCAGGCUCUCAACAGAUUGCAUGAGGCCCACCCACAUUGGGGAGAGCAGUCGACUUCACUGAGGCCACUGAUUCCACUGCUAACCUCAUUCGGAAACACCAUCACGGACCCGCCCCAUGGCUCAGCCAGGUUGACACAUAAAAUUAACCAUCACAACUCUCAAGUCCUAUUUCAGCGGUUCCUUUCAAACCGAGUUGAAGAUGCGAAAUAACUUUUGGACUUCUCUAGAGGAAACAUCAGCAGGACAGUCUCAUCAUUUACGGCCUGGGCCUUUGCUCCCGCCUGGCCUGCCCCACUUCUCCUCCGCACUCUAGAGCUCUUCCUGUUUGCCUGCUCUGUUCUCAGGGAAGCUCCGCUUGUGAAUCUUAUCGUUGACCCCAACUCCCCCAUCUGUCCCUGCCCUACUCAGGCCCGGGGGAACAGUGGGCGGGAAAAGCUGUUCAGCGCUUGUCACCCACUGUGGCUACUGCUGUUCCCUGAGCUAGCACAAGGCCUGUUCCCUCCUCACUCAGGUCACCGAAGGGUCCCUCGUUUCAUCUGCAGAAUCCUUUGUAGUCGAACCUUUGCUUCGAUGAGAUCUAUAUCUUAUGGGGAUAAUGUAGUUUUUAAAACAGCAAAGCAAAACAAAUAAAUUGGAUAUCUACUAUGAAACUUAGGUGAUUUGGUGAUUCUUCUGGUUUCAUGAG
Long non-coding RNA from Equus asinus (donkey), 2126 nucleotides. NCBI's taxonomy places the organism in Eukaryota, Metazoa, Chordata, Mammalia, Perissodactyla, Equidae. The record is from Ensembl.